CAGCAGCCACGGGAACACGAAGGGGGCUAGCGUUGUUCGGAUUUACUGGGCGUAAAGCGUGCGCAGGCGGCUUUGCAAGACAGAUGUGAAAUCCCCGGGCUCAACCUGGGAACUGCAUUUGUGACUGCAAGGCUAGAGUACGGUAGAGGGGGAUGGAAUUCCGCGUGUAGCAGUGAAAUGCGUAGAUAUGCGGAGGAACACCAAUGGCGAAGGCAAUCCCCUGGACCUGUACUGACGCUCAUGCACGAAAGCGUGGGGAGCAAACAGGAUUAGAUACCCCAGUAGUCCCUGUCUCUUAUAC
This 301-nucleotide ribosomal RNA is filed under the name uncultured bacterium. RNAcentral's name for it is "partial 16S ribosomal RNA". It matches the Rfam family "Bacterial small subunit ribosomal RNA", at positions 509 to 807 of the family's 1533-position model. The record is from RNAcentral.